Long non-coding RNA from Gallus gallus (chicken), 311 nucleotides. The record is from Ensembl. NCBI's taxonomy places the organism in Eukaryota, Metazoa, Chordata, Aves, Galliformes, Phasianidae.
UUUACAUUGUUUUCUUUUUUCCUGGCAGUAUGAAAAUGGUGAUAAUGUUAUUUACCAAUGCAUGUAUUUUCUGUAAAAAUUCUGUAUGUACAAAUCUCCAAGAACUGCUGGAGAUUGGUCCACCAGAGGAAGACAGCUGUGGUAAACCUCCCCAGAAGGAUAUCAAGCCCAUGGAAGUGGAUCUACCCCAAGACUAAGAGGAGACCAUGGACCCAUAUAUGGUGCAACAAUUGCAGUGGGACACCACGCUCUCAGGCCUUGUCAGAGCAUCUCUCCAAAAGAUGCCACACAGCCUGGCAAUGAACCCAGCU